Molecule: long non-coding RNA, 780 nt
Filed under: Anas platyrhynchos platyrhynchos (common mallard)
Lineage: Eukaryota; Metazoa; Chordata; Aves; Anseriformes; Anatidae
Description: lncRNA (ENSAPLG00000018275.1)
Source: RNAcentral
CUAUCUAGCAGAGUAAGUAGUAAUGAUGACCUGCUAUUCAACAAGAUAGCUGUACAACAGCUGGAUGGGAAAAAAGAGCUGGAACUAUUUCUGCCUGUGCCACAUAUUAAAAACUCAGAGUCACUGGAAAUGAGGAUCACUGACUCUGUAAAACCCCAGAGAACUACAGGAGUCUGGGAACUGUGGAUUUACUCAGUCAAUGAUAUAGCAGAGCAGUGUUGGACCAAGCCUGAAAGAUGAAUGUAAAAGAUAAAGAAGCUUUGUAAGAUAUAUAACAAGAGAAGUUUUAAAUGGGACUAUUAACAUGCAUUGAGAAUAUAUCUAAGGAAACAGGUAAAGUGGUGUAUAGAUGUUUGCAUGUUUGAGAUUUUCCUUUGAAAUCUAACAAUAACCUUUACAAAAUAAUAUAACAAUCGAGAUCCUGUGAAAUCUACCUAUCUGUCUAUCUACAGAAUUAUACACACACAGUUUUUUUCUAACCUUGAUUCAUUACUCUCUGUGAUCUCAUACGCAAACUCUCUGCCUUUCCCAAGCAAUGCAAUGGCAAACCUGUAAUAUAAUUUAGAGUUAAUGUUCUCCCUUGGCUUACUUUAAAAACUGAUAUUACUAUUUUUUAUUAUUAUUUUAGUUAGCUCUUACAGGGAAGUUGUAGAUUAGAUAAAAAGAACAUUAUUUUCAGCUCCUUUUCCACCUUAUGCUCACAAAUAAUUGCUAACAGAAGCUGUAGCACCUGAACAUCUACUGCCUUUAUUGAUAAAUAAAGCUACAACCUUUGUUUCA